UGUGACCCGGGUGGACUUAAGCAUAUCAAUAAGCGGAGGAAAAGAAACCAACAGGGAUUGCCCUAGUAACGGCGAGUGAAGCGGCAAGAGCUCAAAUUUGAAAUCUGGCUCCUUUGGAGUCCGAGUUGUAAUUUGUAGAGGGUGCUUUGGUGUCGGCUAUGGCCUAAGUUCCUUGGAACAGGACGUCACAGAGGGUGAGAACCCCGUAUGUGGCUGCUAGCCUUCACCAUGUAAAGCCCCUUCGACGAGUCGAGUUGUUUGGGAAUGCAGCUCUAAAUGGGAGGUAAAUUUCUUCUAAAGCUAAAUAUUGGCCAGAGACCGAUAGCGCACAAGUAGAGUGAUCGAAAGAUGAAAAGCACUUUGGAAAGAGAGUCAAAAAGCACGUGAAAUUGUUGAAAGGGAAGCGCUUGCAGCCAGACUUGCUCGUAGUUGCUCAUCCGAGCUUUUGCUCGGUGCACUCUUCUGCGAGCAGGCCAGCAUCAGUCCGGGCGGUUGGAUAAAGGCUCUGGGAAUGUAGCUCUCUUCGGGGAGUGUUAUAGCCCAGGGUGUCAUGCAACCAGUCUGGACUGAGGUCCGCGCAUCUGCUAGGAUGCUGGCGUAAUGGCUGUAAGCGGCCCGUCUUGAAACACGGACCAAGGAGUCUAACAUCUAUGCGAGUGUUUGGGUGUCAAGCCCGGGCGCGCAAUGAAAGUGAACGGAGGUGGGAACCCUUCGGGGCGCACCAUCGACCGAUCCUGAUGUCUUCGGAUGGAUUUGAGUAAGAGCAUAGCUGUUGGGACCCGAAAGAUGGUGAACUAUGCCUGAAUAGGGUGAAGCCAGAGGAAACUCUGGUGGAGGCUCGCAGCGGUUCUGACGUGCAAAUCGAUCGUCAAAUUUGGGCAUAGGGGCGAAAGACUAAUCGAACUAGUAAUUGA
Molecule: ribosomal RNA, 914 nt
Filed under: Hermatomyces biconisporus
Lineage: Eukaryota; Fungi; Ascomycota; Dothideomycetes; Pleosporales; Hermatomycetaceae
Description: partial 28S large subunit ribosomal RNA
Rfam family: Eukaryotic large subunit ribosomal RNA
Source: RNAcentral